Molecule: non-coding RNA, 1567 nt
Organism: Megalopta genalis
Lineage: Eukaryota; Metazoa; Arthropoda; Insecta; Hymenoptera; Halictidae
Source: RefSeq, a predicted model, not a curated record
GCCAGCCCAUUUUUUUUAAAAUAAAGGAAUAAAGAAAGACCGAUCGGUCGAACCGGCGACUCGAUAUCGUAUUGCGGCGAUUAGUCGUAUUUGACGUUUCCACGACAUUUGACAGAUCCGAUUGGACACACGAUAUCACGGUUAUGACUAUGUGUCUGUUCGUCGAGGCAGUUCCCGAUUCUGUCGGAAUAAAUUCGGAAUGCGAUAGGGUCGCGACCCACGAGGAUCGUGUUCUACCUCCUUUCUCUUUGUGGCCGUGCUCUCCUCUGUCUGUCUGUCCGAUUUCGUGGAUUUCAUUUUGGCGCAAGCCGGGUCCUUUCCCGGAAAAUAUCUACUCACCGUCGUAACGCUCCGCCUGCUCCGCCAGUUUCGCUUUGUAAACGUUGUCCUCCCGUUCCGACAUCUUGGAUGCUUCUAGAUUUCACGGGCCGGACGAAAGGUUCCAGGGAAAUCGCACGAAAUCCUCGUUUCACCGAAAUACGUACACCUCGUCGUACAGCCACUCGCAAGCUCACUGACCAAGAUGGCGGCGCCCGCCAACAAUCGAAAGCAGUUCCCAGUUCGCGCAGCCUCUGCGGACACUCCACUCGCCAUGCGCUCCCUGUCUCGUGUAUUACUACGCCAUUCGUGACGUCAUUCGUUCGGCGGCCACCAAAGGCCCCACGCGCAUGACGGUUAAAUUCGCCCCGAAUAUCCCCGUAUAUCCGGUCUAUCAAAACCUGGCCAAGUUUCAUUUGAAAUUGAAAUAGCUGAUAAUUGGACUGCAGAUGUUUAUGCAAUUUCGAGUUUUUUUAUGAACAGCUUUCCGAAGGCCGAUAUCUAUUCAGACACAUGUCUUCAUUACAAUAAUAUCCCGAUCGACUUGAAGACAUUGCAACUACAUUAUCUAAUGAUCAAAUUGAAUGUUAAAUUGUUUCUGAAAUUGUUCAAUUUCAAGCAUAAGGAUAUUGUUGCACUGGUAAAACUUCGGUGCAACGAUGCAGAAUAAAUUCAUGUAUACAGAUUUUGUAGAAUACCUAUUACUACAUGGAAAAUAUAAAAAACAAACCGAAAGUUAUCCGGUAUGGACAUCUUUGUAAUUGCGAAGGGAGCAAAUCUAUGUAUCUGCAAUAAUACUUCAAUUGCUAUUGUAAAAGUACCUCAAACUGUAGAACGAGAACAACGUAGUUUCUUGGCGAUCGCAAUAAAUAACGAAUACUUGAAUAUAUUUUAGUCGCACGUCAUAAAAUCGAUGACGCACAAUGGCUAACCGGAACAAAGAAUUACAACGAAAAACUGAAAGAAAAACUUUACCACGGAAAUUGAAACGCAAUAAAAAAAGUAGUUCAGAUUUGUCUGGAUUUAGAUGAGAAUUAAUGGUGCUCAUUGGAUUCGUCAGUUUCAGCUUGUGAUAACAUAAAGUCGUUCAGCGCGGCCAAUUUGAAAACUAAAGUAAAGCAACACACGAUAUAACAAGAAAUGGAUCGAUCAGUGGGUAGCAAUAAAAUGUUCAACGAUGAUCGUUACCCGUUCACGACCGUUCAUUUUUAAUUUGUUACAAUAAAUCAAUACAAUUCAUUCGAUGGAA